RNAcentral lists this ribosomal RNA (764 nucleotides) under uncultured Bacillus sp. RNAcentral's name for it is "SSU rRNA". It matches the Rfam family "Bacterial small subunit ribosomal RNA", at positions 607 to 1374 of the family's 1533-position model. The record is from RNAcentral. Lineage: Bacteria; Bacillati; Bacillota; Bacilli; Caryophanales; Bacillaceae.
GCUCAACCGUGGAGGGUCAUUGGAAACUGGGGAACUUGAGUGCAGAAGAGGAAAGUGGAAUUCCACGUGUAGCGGUGAAAUGCGUAGAGAUGUGGAGGAACACCAGUGGCGAAGGCGACUUUCUGGUCUGUAACUGACACUGAGGCGCGAAAGCGUGGGGAGCGAACAGGAUUAGAUACCCUGGUAGUCCACGCCGUAAACGAUGAGUGCUAAGUGUUAGAGGGUUUCCGCCCUUUAGUGCUGCAGCUAACGCAUUAAGCACUCCGCCUGGGGAGUACGGCCGCAAGGCUGAAACUCAAAGGAAUUGACGGGGGCCCGCACAAGCUGUGGUGCAUGUGGUUUAAUUCGAAGCAACGCGAAGAACCUUACCAGGUCUUGACAUCCUCUGACAACCCUAGAGAUAGGGCCUUCCCUUUCGGGGGACAGAGUGACAGGUGGUGCAUGGUUGUCGUCAGCUCGUGUCGUGAGAUGUUGGGUUAAGUCCCGCAACGAGCGCAACCCUUGUCUCUAGUUGCUACGAAAGGGCACUCUAGAGAGACUGCCGGUGACAAACCGGAGGAAGGUGGGGAUGACGUCAAGUCCUCAUGGCCCUUAUGGGUAGGGCUUCACACGUCAUACAAUGGUGCAUACAGAGGGUUGCCAAGCCGCGAGGUGGAGCUAAUCCCAGAAAAUGCAUCGUANUCCGGAUCGUAGUCUGCAACUCGACUACNUGAAGCUGGAAUCGCUAGUAAUCGCGGAUCAGCAUGCCGCGGUGAAUACGUUCC